Molecule: non-coding RNA, 207 nt
Organism: Oryza glaberrima (African rice)
Lineage: Eukaryota; Viridiplantae; Streptophyta; Magnoliopsida; Poales; Poaceae
Source: Rfam
AAUAAGUGCAGUUUUAGCACGGUUCAUAUUCAACGUUUGACCGUUCGUCUUAUUUAAAAAAAUUGUAAUUAAUAUUUUUAUUGCUAUUACAUGAUAAAACAUGAGUAGUACUUUAUGUGUGGCUAUUUUUUUAAAUUUUUUUAUAAUUUUUUCAAAUAAGACGUAUAGUCAGAACGCUAAACACGGAUAUCUAUGGCUGCAUUUAUU